ACAGAGGCCUCAAGCGUUAGGCGGAAUCACUGGGCUUAAAGCGUGUGUAGGCGGAUCGUUAAGUGCCUUGUGAAAUCCCACGGCUUAACUGUGGAACGGCUGGGCAUACUGGCGGUCUUGAGCCAUCUAGGGGCGACUGGAACAAACGGUGGAGCGGUGAAAUGCGUAGAUAUCGGGAGGAACACCAGUGGCGAAGGCGAGUCUCUGGCCUAAUACUGACGCUGAUGCGCGAAAGCUAGGGGAGCAAACGGGA
This 253-nucleotide ribosomal RNA is filed under the name uncultured prokaryote. RNAcentral's name for it is "partial 16S ribosomal RNA". It matches the Rfam family "Bacterial small subunit ribosomal RNA", at positions 525 to 777 of the family's 1533-position model. The record is from RNAcentral.